RNAcentral lists this transfer RNA (98 nucleotides) under Deltaproteobacteria bacterium. RNAcentral describes it as "tRNA-Sec". It matches the Rfam family "Selenocysteine transfer RNA". Lineage: Bacteria; Pseudomonadati; Myxococcota; Myxococcia. The record is from RNAcentral. RNAcentral also lists the same sequence under 1 other name.
GGAAGUGGAUAGCUCACUGGUGGGGCUCACGGACUUCAAAUCCGGUGUGCCGGGCUAAAACCCUGGCAGGUGGGUUCGAUUCCCAUGCACUUCCGCCA